GUACUCGCUUCGGUGAUACAUAUACUAAAAUUGAUAACAAUACAGAGAAGGUCAGUAUGGCCCGUGUGCAAGAACGUCAUGUAAAUACCCCUGUUAAUCUCACUUGGU
Molecule: small nuclear RNA, 108 nt
Organism: Schistocerca serialis cubense
Lineage: Eukaryota; Metazoa; Arthropoda; Insecta; Orthoptera; Acrididae
Source: RefSeq, a predicted model, not a curated record